This 396-nucleotide ribosomal RNA is filed under the name uncultured bacterium. RNAcentral describes it as "bacterial SSU rRNA". It matches the Rfam family "Bacterial small subunit ribosomal RNA", at positions 28 to 429 of the family's 1533-position model. The record is from RNAcentral.
GACGAACGCUGGCGGCGUGCUUAACACAUGCAAGUCGAGCGGUAAGGCCCUUUCGGGGGUACACGAGCGGCGAACGGGUGAGUAACACGUGGGUGACCUGCCUUUAGCUCUGGGAUAAGCCUGGGAAACCGGGUCUAAUACCGGAUAUGACUCCGCGGCGCAUGUUGUGGGGUGGAAAGCCUUGUGCGGCUGGAGAUGGGCCCGCGGCCUAUCAGCUUGUUGGUGGGGUGAUGGCCUACCAAGGCGACGACGGGUAGCCGGCCUGAGAGGGCGACCGGCCACACUGGGACUGAGACACGGCCCAGACUCCUACGGGAGGCAGCAGUGGGGAAUCUUGCGCAAUGGGCGAAAGCCUGACGCAGCGACGCCGCGUGAGGGAUGACGGCCUGGUGUAAG